UGCUCUUUUACAUUUUUUUCUUCUUUAAAUAUUCUUCUUCACUUCGACAAUAUCAAGAUCAUUUAUAUUCCUCUACCAAGAUCGUUGUAGUGAGUUUAAGAGUUUUAAAUUUCGUUUUUGUUUGAAUUGUUUAGAAGAUUAUAAAAUUUUGUUAAGAAUUCUAUAUUUCAUUAUGAAGAUCGUUUUUUUUUUUUUGUUUAUGGUAAGAACUCUAAAUUUUAUUUUUGCUUUAAUUGUUUAGAAGAUAUAAUUAAUGUAAGAAUUAUGUAGUUCAUUAUGUAAAUCGUUAGUUUGAAGUUUUUCAUGAUUAGCUACAUGAUCGUUUGCCAAUAUCAACAUGAUCGUUUACCAAUAUCAACACAAUCAUUUACCUAUAUCAAUACGAUCAUUUACUACAUUCAAUAUAAUAAUUUAUCGUGGUCAAACGAUCGUUUACCAUAAUCAACAUGAUCGUUUAAUGCAUAUUAUUUCACUGCACAAUCGUCUAUCCUUGCAUUGUGUUUAUUAUUAUCAUUUUUUACAUUUUAUUCUUUUAUUAUAUGAUAGAUGUAUAUCUAUGUCUAUCUAUUGCUUUCUACCACUGUUGGAUACUUAAUUGUAUUUUCUUUUUACAAAAUACAAUGUCUAUUCCUAAGUUGUUUUUUAUGGAGGUCAAUGGAAUAAAUGGAGUGCCUAUGAAAAUUACUCAGUUGCUUGAAUUUUGGUAGAUAUCUGAAUCAAUUUAAUUGUUUGGUUGGUUUAAUAUACGAAGAGAUUUAAUUGGAUAAGUUGGUAGAAUUAUCUGUUUUACUGAAUUUUGGUAAAAGCAACGUACAAACUGUGGUGCCAAUAAUAAUAAAAAAAGACAAUGGCCAAGCGAAGAAGAGUUGAUUCUUAGAGGAAGAAGAGUUGGAUUAUCAAGACUAUUUUUCAGAAGAUGAACAUGGAAAGAAAAGGAAUGGUCCACCAAGUAAUUUUGAUUGGAAAAAUGUUGAAGUGUUUGUCAUGUUUUUGAAAGUGUUCUAUAAUGUCACUAAUAAGAUUAGUGGUUCUUUAUAUGUGACUGCCAAUUCCUUUUCUCAUGAGAUGUGGGGGAGUAAUGAUCUUUUAAUUGGUUGGAGCAACGAACAUAAUUCUAUUUUAUGUAAUAUGGCUAUAAAUAUGAAGUCAAAGUAUGACAAAUAUUGGGGUUCAAUUGUGAAGAUUAACAAGCUUGUAUUUCUAGUUGUGGUGCUUGACCCUCGAUAUAAACUGGACUAUGUUGGUUUUUGCUUUGAAAGUAUACAUGAUGAUGUUAUGGUUAAAGUUCUUGUUGAUGAGAUUGAAGCUUAUUUGAUGCGAUUAUACAAUUGUUACAAAUCACAAGUUGAUGGCUCUGCCUUUCGUAAUGAUUUGAGUGGUCAAGAUAUUGUUUGUGAAAAAGUAGAAUCAAGUGAUAGUUUGAGACUAUUGAGUUCGGGAACUAUGGUUGAAACUGACGCGGGUUGUAGAGUAUUAUCACGCUACAAGAGAAGAGGACAAGAACAAAAUACUUUAGAAUUGAGGAAUGAUGUUGAUCGGUAUUUAUCUGAUCCUUGUGAGGAGCUAAACGAUCAUUUUGAUGUUCUAACUUGGUGGAAAUUGAAUGAGGUUAAAUAUCGAAUUCUAUCAAAAAUUGCUCAAGAUGUUUUUGUCGUUCCGGUGUCUACUGUGGCUUCUGAAUCUGCAUUCAGUCCUGGAGGAAGGAUUCUGGAUUCUUUUAGGAGUUCCUUAUCACCUAAACAGUGGAAGCUUUGAUUUGUACACAAAAUUGAGUCCGUGGCAAAACAACCUUAUUGGAUCUUUGUCCAAAGCUUGAAGAAAUGGAAAUUUGUGAAAAAAUUGAGAACGAUAGUAUCAAGUCUUCCGUCACGUCACAAACAUGAUCUAUGAGUUGACAAUUUUCAUGGACAAAUUUAAAUGAUUGGGAUGCUUGAAUGGACUUCAAAUUUAUAUUUAACUAUAUAUUGAACUUUAUUAUUCCUUUAUUAUUAAAAAUGAACUUCAUGAACAUUUAUGGAUAAUGUUUGGAUUUAUGUAUUUUAAGAACUUUGAAUUUAUUUGUGUAUUUUAAGAACUUUGAAUUUAUUUA
Cucumis sativus (cucumber) is the source of this 2089-nucleotide long non-coding RNA. RefSeq lists it as uncharacterized. The record is from RefSeq and is a predicted model, not a curated record. The transcript is spliced from 3 exons. NCBI's taxonomy places the organism in Eukaryota, Viridiplantae, Streptophyta, Magnoliopsida, Cucurbitales, Cucurbitaceae.